RNAcentral lists this ribosomal RNA (761 nucleotides) under uncultured bacterium. RNAcentral's name for it is "bacterial SSU rRNA". It matches the Rfam family "Bacterial small subunit ribosomal RNA", at positions 771 to 1532 of the family's 1533-position model. The record is from RNAcentral.
AACAGGAUUAGAUACCCUGGUAGUCCACGCUGUAAACGAUGUCGAUUUGGAGGUUGUGCCCUUGAGGCGUGGCUUCCCGAGCUAACGCGUUAAAUCGACCGCCUGGGGAGUACGGCCGCAAGGUUAAAACUCAAAUGAAUUGACGGGGGCCCGCACAAGCGGUGGAGCAUGUGGUUUAAUUCGAUGCAACGCGAAGAACCUUACCUACUCUUGACAUCCAGAGAACUUAGCAGAGAUGCUUUGGUGCCUUCGGGAACUCUGAGACAGGUGCUGCAUGGCUGUCGUCAGCUCGUGUUGUGAAAUGUUGGGUUAAGUCCCGCAACGAGCGCAACCCUUAUCCUUUGUUGCCAGCGGUUCGGCCGGGAACUCAAAGGGGACUGCCAGUGAUAAACUGGAGGAAGGUGGGGAUGACGUCAAGUCAUCAUGGCCCUUACGAGUAGGGCUACACACGUGCUACAAUGGCGUAUACAAAGAGAAGCGACCUCGCGAGAGCAAGCGGACCUCAUAAAGUACGUCGUAGUCCGGAUUGGAGUCUGCAACUCGACUCCAUGAAGUCGGAAUCGCUAGUAAUCGUAGAUCAGAAUGCUACGGUGAAUACGUUCCCGGGCCUUGUACACACCGCCCGUCACACCAUGGGAGUGGGUUGCAAAAGAAGUAGGUAGCUUAACCUUCGGGAGGGCGCUUACCACUUUGUGAUUCAUGACUGGGGUGAAGUCGUAACAAGGUAACCGUAGGGGAACCUGCGGCUGGAUCACCUCCUU